RNAcentral lists this long non-coding RNA (928 nucleotides) under Brachypodium distachyon (stiff brome). RNAcentral describes it as "long non-coding RNA (BDIS_LNC005413)". The record is from RNAcentral. Lineage: Eukaryota; Viridiplantae; Streptophyta; Magnoliopsida; Poales; Poaceae.
AAGACGACCCUGACAGGCGGGCCCCGCCUGUCAGCGGCGCGGUGCGGCGCGUGGGGACCGGGCCGGUCGGUUCGGCUCGGGCGCCCGGAACUGGGCCGUUUCGGCCGAAAACGGCGGGGCCGGUCCGGUUUUGUCCUUUUUUUUUUCUUUUAGCCCUUUUCUUUUUCUGUUUUUCUUAUUUCUUUGAUAUCUUUUGAUUUUGAACUCCACAUUGGUCCAAAUAAAUUCCCGAAAAUUUGUAAAAUCAUGUUUUACCAUGAUACAACUUUUGGGAGUGAUUUCCCCUCAAAAUAAAAUAUCUAAAAAUACAUUUGCCCUAUAAAUGCUUUUAGGGCUAUAUAACUAUUUUAAGUAAAAUGCUUUUUCAACUCCAAAUAUUUAUCCAAAAAUUAUGGGAUAGCUCAUUUAUGCAAUAAACCCCUUUUAUAAGUAAACCUGAUUGGUUUGAAGAUUCAAAGCUCAAAUGGGUGUAAACCCUAGGGUUUAAAUUGAAAUAAAAACUUUUAAAGCCUUUGAGAUUCAAAUUUGAAUUCAAACAUGCACUUGUAAUCCGGACCACCAAAAUGUUUCCUUUAGGUCCCUGUACUUUUUCGUGUUCCCAGGGUGGAUUGAGUACGGUGAAUCAUGAGCAUCUUGUAAAAUCAGCUUCUUGUGGAUCCUCGGGCACUGCUGCUGCUGAUUCUGCUGCUGGUGUGUGCUGCUGCCGUUGUUGUUUUCGGUCUGGCGGUUCUGAUGGCCAUACCUUCCACUGCAUCUGUCGUUGUGGCCCCCGGCCCUAUGCACAGACGAACUGCCACUCCCGUCUUGGGUGAUGCGCGGCUUCUGAUGCGGCCCCGCGUGAGAGCCUCCCCGGUGAAGUCUCCUCUUGCGGUUCUCCAUCUGGUGGAGCUUGUUCUCCAACACAAUCGCCUUGUCAAUGAGCGACUGG